CCUACGGGAGGCAGCAGUGAGGAAUAUUGGUCAAUGGACGAGAGUCUGAACCAGCCAAGUAGCGUGAAGGAUGACUGCCCUAUGGGUUGUAAACUUCUUUUAUAUGGGAAUAAAAUGUUCCACGUGUGGGAUUUUGUAUGUACCAUAUGAAUAAGGAUCGGCUAACUCCGUGCCAGCAGCCGCGGUAAUACGGAGGAUCCGAGCGUUAUCCGGAUUUAUUGGGUUUAAAGGGAGCGUAGGUGGAGUGUUAAGUCAGUUGUGAAAGUCUGCGGCUCAACCGUAAAAUUGCAGUUGAAACUGGCAGUCUUGAGUACAGUAGAGGUGGGCGGAAUUCGGGGUGUAGCGGUGAAAUGCUUAGAUAUCACGAAGAACUCCGAUUGCGAAGGCAGUUCACUGGACUGCAACUGACACUGAGGCUCGAAAGUGUGGGUAUCAAACAGGAUUAGAUACCCUAGUAGUC
This 460-nucleotide ribosomal RNA is filed under the name uncultured bacterium. Its description in RNAcentral is "partial 16S ribosomal RNA". It matches the Rfam family "Bacterial small subunit ribosomal RNA", at positions 338 to 795 of the family's 1533-position model. The record is from RNAcentral.